RNAcentral lists this ribosomal RNA (1312 nucleotides) under Copris tripartitus. RNAcentral describes it as "16S ribosomal RNA". The stretch from base 1060 to 1218 matches the Rfam family "Archaeal large subunit ribosomal RNA", at positions 2544 to 2703 of the family's 2987-position model. The record is from RNAcentral. Lineage: Eukaryota; Metazoa; Arthropoda; Insecta; Coleoptera; Scarabaeidae.
AUUUAAAUAUUUAUUAAAUUUUUAUUUUUAUUUAUUUUAAAAAAAAUAAUUUUUAGUUUUUUAUUAAUUAAGAUAAAAUUAAUUGAAUGAUAAAGUAUAAGUAUAGUAUUAGAAUAUUUAAAUAAUUGAAAUAUUUAAAUUUUUAAAAGAAAAAUUUAUUUUUUGUACCUUGUGUAUCAGGGUUUAUUUAAAAAUUAUUAUUUUUAUUAAUAUUCUCGAAUUUAAAAGAGUUAGAAAAUUAUAAAUUUUUAUUGUAAAAUAAAUAUUUAAAAUAAUUUUUUAGUAAUGAAACGUUAGUCGUUUUUAAAGUUAUCUAGUUUUUUAAGAAAUAAAUUUAAUUUAGUUAUUUAUUUUAAUUUAUAUAUAUAUAUAUAUAUAUAUAUAUUUAAAUAAUUAAUUAAUAUUUUAAGGGAUAAGCUUUAAAAUAAAAAUUUUAAAAAUUAAAAAUUUAAUUAAAAUUUUGUAGGAUUGGAAAUUUUUAUCAUUAAUAGUAUGUUAUAAUAAUAUUUUAUAUUAAUUUGAUUUUUAUAUAAUUUUAAAUGUUUUAUUAAAAUUAUUUAUUUAAUUUAAAAAUUUAUGAAAUAAUGAUAAAAUUAGUAAAAAUUUUUAAUGUUUCUUUAUUUUAAAUAAUUAAGGUUAAGUUAAGGAAUUCGGCAAAUAUUUUUUCCGCCUGUUUAUUAAAGACAUGUCUUUUUGAUUAUAAUUUAAAUGAAGUAAUUUAAAUGGCUGCGGUAUUUUGACCGUACAAAGGUAGCAUAAUAAUUAGUUUUUUAAUUGAGAACUGGAAUGAAGGGUCGAACGAGAAAAAUACUGUCUCAAUUUAAUUUAAAUUUGAAUUUUAUAUUUAAGUAAAAAAGCUUAAAUAAUCUUAAAAGACGAGAAGACCCUAUAGAGUUUAAUAUUAUUUAUUAUUUAUUAAAUUAAAGUAUUUUAUUUUUUAAUAUUAAUUAGUAUUUAAUUGGGGUGAUUAAAAAAUUGAUUUAACUUUUUUUAUAUAUUUACAUUGAUUUAUGAUUAGUUGAUCCAUUAUUAAUGAUUAUAAGUUUAAAUUACCUUAGGGAUAACAGCGUUAUUUUUUUUUAGAGUUCUUAUCGAAAAAAAAGUUUGCGACCUCGAUGUUGGAUUAAAAUUAACUUUUGGUGUAGGGGCUAAAGAGUUGGGUCUGUUCGACCCUUAAAAUUUUACAUGAUCUGAGUUUAAACCGGUGUAAGCCAGGUUGGUUUCUAUCUUUAAGAUAUUUAAAUAUUUUUGUACGAAAGGACUAAAUAUUUAUAAUAUUUAUUAUAAUAUUUGAAUAUUAUUAAUGUGAAAA